UCCCUGGGAUUUUACCAGCCGCGCUCGCUUGCCGUCUUCAUCUUUCCCAGCCGAUCCCCUCUCCCUCACGGCGUCCUCUCCCAUGGCCGUCGGCCCUCCCUGCCAUGGUGGUCACGCCGCUGCUCGUCCUCGCUGCUCCCCAGUGCUCGGCCAGGGAGCUUCCUUUCCUCUCGCGCCCAUCUCCCUCUCGCCUUUCCUUGCUCGCCAGCCAUGUCCCUGGCGCCCGUUCCGGCUACAGUCUCCCCCAUGGUGGCUCUUUGGUCCUUUUCUGCAGCUGGUCAGCAUCCCAUCCCCUUCCCUCUCUGCUGAUGUCCGCGGCACCCAGAAUCCUUCCCAGACGCGCUCGACCCCCUUCCUGCAGCCGGCCGUCGUUUCCCCUCGCUGCUCUUGGAGCCGGUCGUCCCCGUCGUGAGCCCCUUCUUGGUCGCCUCUCUUUUUUCCCCAUCCGGCCGUCGUUCUUCAGAACAGGUCAUCACGGCGCCUCAGUCCAACGCGCCGCUGCAUCGCCCUUUCUAGCGUCGGCCUUGGAACCGCUUCCCCUAGCGCCCCAGUCGAGCUCGCCUAGGCCGCGGCCUCGCCGAACCGUGCAGCCCCUGCUCUCCUUCCCCAGCCGCGCUUAGCCCAGCCCUCCCUCCUAGCUCCCUGCUCUUUUCCAUCGCCCAAGAUUUGGCCAGCGCUCUCCCUACUCGCCUCUACCCUGCUGCUCCCCUAUGUGUUGUGCGAUGGGGAAUUUUUAGUUGCGGCAAUCGCUAUCUGAACCUCCAAUGUUCAUGUUCUUUUGGUGUGCAAUUUCAGGUACGCUAGAUGAUUAUGCGAAUGGGAGAGCAUGGAUCAGGAUGGAUCACAAGGUGGCUUUGAUGGCCCCAUCCCGAUAUGGACGACUUGAUCAAGUGUCAGGAUUUUUGAGGCUCGCCAAGCGGACAUCAUCUAACCAUACUAACCUAGUGUUAUUCUAGGAAAGCCCCGGUGCAUUUGCCAGCUCCUUCUGUUUUAAAAAGUUUUAGCACCUUGAAUGAUGCAUUAGGUGAUAGGAGUUGUGUGAUCAAACAGUUGAUGCAUUUCCUUCCUUGAUUAAACAACCCUAAUACCCGUUUUAUGAAAAUUUAGUGAUGCUUAGCCCUGCUUAUUAAUUUAGGAUUGUUUUUAAAAUAUGAUGUGUUACAUGGGAUAUGGGAAUUUAUGAAAUAAAAGAAUUUGUGAUGAUGAA
Molecule: long non-coding RNA, 1207 nt
Organism: Zea mays
Lineage: Eukaryota; Viridiplantae; Streptophyta; Magnoliopsida; Poales; Poaceae
Exons: 2
Source: RefSeq, a predicted model, not a curated record